UGAAUAUUUAAAAAUACUAGACUUGCUAUAUCUCAGCCGCGCGCCGCGAGCCGUGCGCCGUUGACGGGUGACGGAAACCGGUUCGGCGAACUAUCCCUCCUAUGAGGCGACGCGAGCAGAGCCUGCGGUCAAUCGCGAGACGGUCACUAGCACGACACCGCGAGCCGAUACAGUACUGGUCUAUGUUGGUUUUUAACUCGCUGGUAUAUCGCAUUUAAUUUUAUCCUAAAUUAACUAUUGUGCUUUUAAAAUCACUAUUAGAAUCAGUGUAUACCCCAGAUCGGGGUUCAAGUACCAGACUACCUCCAGUGCACCUACCGUAGUACACCUACCUAAAGUGCGCCUAUCUACGUGCUGUGUCUACCUACGUGCCUGUGCCUACCUACGUGCCUGUGCCUACCUGCGUGCCGCGCCUAUCUACGUGUCCUGCAUCUACCUACGCGUUCGGCAUCUACUAGCGCGCUGCACACCUACCCCGCCUGACCGCUGCCGAGCUGCCUGACUAUACAGGAUAGUGGUGUUUCUAUAGCGGGCCAGAACUUAACGCGUGCUCGAUAUUUCUAAACUCACUCCCGGCUCUGCCGAUAUCUUUUUAUAGAAUAUAGAUGUAUACUAUUUACUAAA
Molecule: long non-coding RNA, 624 nt
Organism: Helicoverpa zea (corn earworm)
Lineage: Eukaryota; Metazoa; Arthropoda; Insecta; Lepidoptera; Noctuidae
Exons: 2
Source: RefSeq, a predicted model, not a curated record